GACGAACGCUGGCGGCGUGCCUAAUACAUGCAAGUCGAACGAGUGGCGGACGGGUGAGUAAUGCUUGGGAAUCUAGCUUAUGGCGGGGGAUAACUACGGGAAACUGUCGCUAAUACCGCGUACCAUAGGAUGAGCCCAAGUGGGAUUAGGUAGUUGGUGGGGUAAUGGCCUACCAAGCCGACGAUCUCUAGCUGGUCUGAGAGGAUGCCCAGCCACACUGGGACUGAGACACGGCCCAGACUCCUACGGGAGGCAGAAGUGGGGAAUUUUGGACAAUGGGCGAAAGCCUGAUCCAGCCAGGCCGGGUGUCUGAAGAAGGCCUUCGGGUUGUAAAGGACUUUUGUCAGGGAAGCGGUACCUGAAGAAUAAGCACCGGCUAACUACGUGCCAGCAGCCGCGGUAAUU
This 405-nucleotide ribosomal RNA is filed under the name uncultured bacterium. Its description in RNAcentral is "partial 16S ribosomal RNA". It matches the Rfam family "Bacterial small subunit ribosomal RNA", at positions 28 to 525 of the family's 1533-position model. The record is from RNAcentral.